UCCGGAGGGGGCUAUCGUUGUUCGGAAUUACUGGGCGUAAAGCGCACGUAGGCGGAUUUGUAAGUCAGGGGUGAAAUCCCGGGGCUCAACCUCGGAACUGCCUUUGAUACUGGAAAUCUCGAGUUCGGAAGAGGUGAGUGGAAUUCCUAGUGUAGAGGUGAAAUUCGUAGAUAUUAGGAAGAACACCAGUGGCGAAGGCGGCUCACUGGUCCGGUACUGACGCUGAGGUGCGAAAGCGUGGGGAGCAAACAGG
This 253-nucleotide ribosomal RNA is filed under the name uncultured bacterium. RNAcentral describes it as "partial 16S ribosomal RNA". It matches the Rfam family "Bacterial small subunit ribosomal RNA", at positions 524 to 776 of the family's 1533-position model. The record is from RNAcentral.